GCCGAAGUGGUGGAAUUGGCAGACGCGAUGGACUCAAAAUCCAUUGAGGUAACACUCGUGAGGGUUCGAGUCCCUCCUUCGGCA
RNAcentral lists this transfer RNA (84 nucleotides) under Maledivibacter halophilus. RNAcentral's name for it is "Clostridium halophilum tRNA". It matches the Rfam family "tRNA". Rfam says of the family: Transfer RNA (tRNA) molecules are approximately 80 nucleotides in length. Their secondary structure includes four short double-helical elements and three loops (D, anti-codon, and T loops). The record is from Rfam by way of RNAcentral. Lineage: Bacteria; Bacillati; Bacillota; Clostridia; Peptostreptococcales; Caminicellaceae.